RNAcentral lists this ribosomal RNA (684 nucleotides) under Lota lota (burbot). RNAcentral's name for it is "partial 12S ribosomal RNA". It matches the Rfam family "Bacterial small subunit ribosomal RNA", at positions 509 to 1506 of the family's 1533-position model. Lineage: Eukaryota; Metazoa; Chordata; Actinopteri; Gadiformes; Lotidae. The record is from RNAcentral.
CAGCCACCGCGGUUAUACGAGAGGCCCAAGUUGAUGAAAAACGGCGUAAAGCGUGGUUAAGAAAACAAGAAAAAUAGGGCCGAACAGCCUCAAAGCAGUUAUACGCAUUCGAGGCCACGAAGCUCAAUCACGAAAGUGGCCCUACAAAUCUCUGAUUCCACGAAAGCCAUAAAACAAACUGGGAUUAGAUACCCCACUAUGUAUGGUUGUUAACAUUGAUGGUUUUAUACUUAAACCAUCCGCCUGGGUACUACGAGCAUUAGCUUAAAACCCAAAGGACUUGGCGGUGCUUUAGACCCCCCUAGAGGAGCCUGUUCUAGAACUGAUAACCCCCGUUAAACCUCACCAUCCUUUGUUUAACCCGCCUAUAUACCACCGUCGUCAGCUUACCCUGUGAAGGUAAAAUAGUAAGCAUAAAUGGCAAAGCCAAAAACGUCAGGUCGAGGUGUAGCGAAUGGGAUGGGAAGAAAUGGGCUACAUUCUCUACUACAGAGAAUACGAAUGGUAUUUUGAAAAGAAAUACCUGAAGGAGGAUUUAGCAGUAAGUAAGGAAUAGAGCGCCCUACUGAAAACGGCCCUGAAGCGCGCACACACCGCCCGUCACUCUCUCCAAAUAGACCCUAAAUAUUACCUAAAAUGUUUUAUAUAAUAAGGGGAGGCAAGUCGUAACAUGGUAAGCGUACC